RNAcentral lists this transfer RNA (67 nucleotides) under Eospalax smithii (Smith's zokor). RNAcentral describes it as "tRNA-Thr". The record is from RNAcentral. Lineage: Eukaryota; Metazoa; Chordata; Mammalia; Rodentia; Spalacidae.
GCUUAGGUAGUAUACUUAUUACUUUGGUCUUGUAAACCAAAAAUGGAGAACUAACCUCCCCAAAGCA